AGUGAACGCUGGCGGUAGGCCUAACACAUGCAAGUCGAACGGCAGCACAGUAAGAGCUUGCUCUUACGGGUGGCGAGUGGCGGACGGGUGAGGAAUACAUCGGAAUCUACUUUUUCGUGGGGGAUAACGUAGGGAAACUUACGCUAAUACCGCAUACGACCUACGGGUGAAAGCAGGGGAUCUUCGGACCUUGCGCGAUUGAAUGAGCCGAUGUCGGAUUAGCUAGUUGGCGGGGUAAAGGCCCACCAAGGCGACGAUCCGUAGCUGGUCUGAGAGGAUGAUCAGCCACACUGGAACUGAGACACGGUCCAGACUCCUACGGGAGGCAGCAGUGGGGAAUAUUGGACAAUGGGCGCAAGCCUGAUCCAGCCAUACCGCGGGGGUGAAGAAGGCCUUCGGGUUGUAAAGACCUUUUGUUGGGAAAGAAAAGCAGCAGGUUAAGACCCCGCUGUUCUGACGGUACCCAAAGAAUAAGCACCGGCUAACUUC
Molecule: ribosomal RNA, 489 nt
Filed under: uncultured bacterium
Lineage: Bacteria
Description: partial 16S ribosomal RNA
Rfam family: Bacterial small subunit ribosomal RNA
Source: RNAcentral